This 716-nucleotide ribosomal RNA is filed under the name Thermococcus sp. BHI80a28. RNAcentral describes it as "bacterial SSU rRNA". It matches the Rfam family "Archaeal small subunit ribosomal RNA", at positions 58 to 768 of the family's 1478-position model. The record is from RNAcentral. Lineage: Archaea; Methanobacteriati; Methanobacteriota; Thermococci; Thermococcales; Thermococcaceae.
UCAUGGGGCGCGCUCUGCGCGCACCGGCGGACGGCUCAGUAACACGUCGGUAACCUACCCUCGGGUAGGGGGAUAACCCCGGGAAACUGGGGCUAAUCCCCCAUAGGCCUGGGGUACUGGAAGGUCCCCAGGCCGAAAGGGGCUCUGCCCGCCCGAGGAUGGGCCGGCGGCCGAUUAGGUAGUUGGUGGGGUAACGGCCCACCAAGCCGAAGAUCGGUACGGGCCACGAGAGUGGGAGCCCGGAGAUGGACACUGAGACACGGGUCCAGGCCCUACGGGGCGCAGCAGGCGCGAAACCUCCGCAAUGCGGGCAACCGCGACGGGGGGACCCCCAGUGCCGUGGCAUCGCCACGGCUUUUCCGGAGUGUAAAAAGCUCCGGGAAUAAGGGCUGGGCAAGGCCGGUGGCAGCCGCCGCGGUAAUACCGGCGGCCCGAGUGGUGGCCGCUAUUAUUGGGCCUAAAGCGUCCGUAGCCGGGCCUGUAAGUCCCUGGCGAAAUCCCACGGCUCAACCGUGGGGCUUGCUGGGGAUACUGCAGGCCUUGGGACCGGGAGAGGCGGGGGGUACCCCUGGGGUAGGGGUGAAAUCCUAUAAUCCCAGGGGGACCGCCAGUGGCGAAGGCGCCCCGCUGGAACGGGUCCGACGGUGAGGGACGAAGGCCAGGGGAGCGAACCGGAUUAGAUACCCGGGUAGUCCUGGCUGUAAAGGAUGCGGGCU